GAUGAAGAACGUAGCGAAAUGCGAUAAGUAAUGUGAAUUGCAGAAUUCAGUGAAUCAUCGAGUCUUUGAACGCACAUUGCGCCCCCUGGUAUUCCGGGGGGCAUGCCUGUCCGAGCGUCAUUGCUGCCCUCAAGCACGGCUUGUGUGUUGGGCCCCCGUCCCCGGUUUCCCCCGGGGACGGGCCCGAAAGGCAGCGGCGGCACCGCGUCCGGUCCUCGAGCGUAUGGGGCUUUGUCACCCGCUCUGUAGGCCCGGCCGGCGCCAGCCGACACCCAACUUUAUUUCUAAGGUUGACCUCUGAUCAGGUAGGGAUACCCGCUGAACUUAAGCAUAUCAAUAAGCGGAGGA
This 348-nucleotide unclassified non-coding RNA is filed under the name soil metagenome. RNAcentral's name for it is "partial contains 5.8S ribosomal RNA, internal transcribed spacer 2, and large subunit ribosomal RNA". The stretch from base 1 to 120 matches the Rfam family "5.8S ribosomal RNA", at positions 35 to 154 of the family's 154-position model. The record is from RNAcentral.